GGGGAGUUCUCUGUGUGCUCAGAGAGGGUCUCAGGAGGUCAGACAGCACGUCUAUGAGGUCAGGGUGUUACCAAAAUCAAAGUGGGUUCCCUCCUUGCGACUUAAGUUAGCAUGAGCACUCUUAAGGAGCCCCCAAGCUAUUUGUUUGGGAACCUAAAUCUUCCCCCCUCGGUUUGUCAUCCAGCCCUUGGCUAUCGGGGACCACUGCUAACGCUGUGUAAUAGCUUCCCUUACUUCAUCCAGGAUAAACCAGCGAUCUCCACUGAGCUCCUUGGAAGAUGGAAGUUAAAAUGAUUAACACUGCUGCAUUGGAAAUUAAUGACAUGAGAUUGUUCUUACACGUUUUUCACCGUAUUUUACAUAUGAGAUUUCAGUUUGAUUUGUGAUAUCCAAAAAGUGGACUUACUGGAGAACACUUAACAUUUUUGUGUCCACUAUUGGCUUGUAGAGCUUAUGGCUCUUUACUGUUGCAGGGAGGGUCUCUGAGCACUUCUCUCUACCAUUUGUUUUUAGUUUUGCAUGGUCUGGCCAUAUAUACUUUCGUUGGGCAGCUAAAGUAUGCAUAAAAUUUUGUGAGAAUUAUUUUAUAAUUAAAUUAUUAAGAACUUAAUUAAAUAUAACUAAAAUUAUUAUAUAAGAAUUCAAUGCUAACAUUAGGUGAAAUAAGAGUUUAACACAGAAAAUAAGGUACUUUAAGUCCCCUCUCCUAAAAAGGGGGGGUAAAUCACAAAGGCUUUGGUGUUUUCAGAGAAGAUAUGGCAUCCAUUUGUAGCUAGGAGCAUAAACAUUGCUUGAAUGUGUGAAAAUUAGUAAAAGGAAACCUCAUUUAAAUGGAAGUGGGAGGCAAGAAAGGGGGAGCCCUCCCACACUACCACUCACUGUCAGUUACAGACCCCAACAGGAAGAAUCCUCAGCUAUGGAUCGCAACAGGAAGAAACACACAUUGCAAGUAGACACUACUUUAUACUCCAGCAGGAGGAAGGAAGAUUUCCUUCCUUGCCCAGCAACUCAGCCAAGAAGAAAUCGUCACCACGCUGUACUCCUGCUUUCCUGCAGUGGACUUUCAUUCAAAAAAACCCCCUCCUUUUUUUCUAUAAAGUAACGUU
RNAcentral lists this long non-coding RNA (1106 nucleotides) under Equus caballus (horse). RNAcentral's name for it is "lncRNA (ENSECAG00000032842.3)". Lineage: Eukaryota; Metazoa; Chordata; Mammalia; Perissodactyla; Equidae. The record is from RNAcentral.